Long non-coding RNA from Haplochromis burtoni (Burton's mouthbrooder), 4109 nucleotides. RefSeq annotates it as MYC proto-oncogene, bHLH transcription factor a. Lineage: Eukaryota; Metazoa; Chordata; Actinopteri; Cichliformes; Cichlidae. The transcript has 5 exons. The record is from RefSeq and is a predicted model, not a curated record.
UGCGCUAUGACGCUCAGUGUUUGCGUAUAUUUCUGGCGCAGUAGUAGUAAAAUAACUCAGCCCAAUUAUCUGCCACUACUACAUGCAUUAGUAUUUUCUCUAUGCAGUCAAUGAAAGCACUACUCUACUCCACUCUGACCCCUCCCACUUGCAAAAAAAAAUAGACCCAUCUCAGAGAAAGAGGGCAGAAAAUAUGCAAAGAUGCAUCCACGGCGUACUUUGGACGCACGCGAUUUUUACUUGACGCAAACGGCUGAAUAAUUGCGCUGAUGGGCAGAGGCUGAUAUCGGGGGGUGCUGUGUGUUGUGUUGUAGUAGGAACGCUCUCGCGGAUGGAUACAGACAGAGAGAGUGCGAGAUGCGGUUUACUUUAUCGCGCGGUGCUCAACUCUCAGCUGCGAUUCUGACUGUGCUGAUGACAGAGUGCGCGUCGCUCUUGCCGGCUCGCCUCUGCAGCCUUUUAACUUCACAUGCAUGCUUCACCCGCAGGCUGACAGACAGCCGCCGUACCGCCUCUGUGGAAGGAUUUACUGUCACUGCCGCACUGGAAUAACUUUGCUGCUCCCUCGUUUUUUUUACAUUUUCCUCCUCUUUUUGCGCCACUCGGCUCGCUUUUUUUUGCUCCCGUCUUUCGCCUACAGUUGAAAAUCUGAAAGCCUCGCCGUGAGGAGAGACGAAACCAAACGCACCAUGCCGCGGAAUCCAAGUUUGGCGAGUAAGAACUACGACUACGACUACCUGCAGCCCUAUUUCUACUACGACGACGAGGAGGAGGAUUUCUACCCUCAGCAGUUUCAGCCUCCGGCACCCAGCGAAGACAUCUGGAAGAAAUUUGAACUGCUGCCGACCCCUCCCCUCUCCCCGAGCCGCCGGCCGUCCCUGUCCAGCCUCGACCUUUCCAUCGCGGAUCAGCUGGAGAUGGUGACCGAGUUCCUCGGGGAUGACGUGGUCAACCAGAGCAUCAUCUGCGACUCCGACUACUCCCAGACCUUCCUCAAGUCCAUCAUCAUCCAGGACUGCAUGUGGAGCGGCUUUUCCGCCGCCGCCAAGCUGAAGAAGGUGGUGUCCGAGCGGCUCGCCUCCCUGCACGCCGCCCGGAAGGAGUCUGCGGCCGGUGACUGCGCAGAGCCCGCCGGCCCCGCGGCUGCUGCCGCCGCGGCUGCCGCCGCCGCUACUACGGCUCUUCCUGCGUGGAAACUGAACAGCAGCUACCUGCAAGACCUGAACACGUCUGCGUCGGAGUGCAUCGACCCCUCGGUGGUUUUCCCGUAUCCCGUAGCCGAGACGCCCAAGCAGAGCGCAGGGACCCCGCCUAGCAAGGAUUUGGGACUGGACACGCCGCCUAACAGCAGCGGGAGCAGCAGCAGUUGUAGCGAUUCAGAGGAAGAGGAUGAAGGUGAUGAUGAUGAGGAGGAGGAGGAGGAGGAGGAGGAGGAGGAAGAAGAGGACGAACAGGAGGAAGAGGAGGAAAUCGACGUGGUCACUGUGGAAAAGAGGCAGGUGGUGAAACGGUGCGACUCCAGCCCGCUGGAGACCAGGCACCCCAGCCCACUCGUGCUGAAGAGGUGCCACGUCUCCACCCACCAGCAUAAUUACGCCGCCCAUCCAUCCAUGAGGCACGAGCAGCCGGCUGUCAAGAGGCUGAAGCUGGAGAGCAGCGGUGGAGGUGCCAGCAGCCACAGCAGGGUCCUCAAACAGAUCAGCAGCAACCGCAAGUGUUCCAGCCCGCGAACGUCGGACACGGAGGACUACGACAAGAGAAGGACUCAUAACGUGCUGGAGCGCCAAAGGAGGAACGAGCUGAAGCUGAGCUUCUUCGCUCUGCGGGACGAGAUCCCCGAGGUGGCCAACAACGAGAAGGCGGCCAAGGUGGUCAUCCUGAAGAAGGCCACGGAGUGCAUCUACAGCAUGCAGUCGGACGAACAGAGACUCCUCUCUCUGAAAGAGCAGCUGAGGAGGAGAAGCGAACAGUUAAAGCAGAGACUCGCACACCUGCAGGGUUGCCGUGCUUAAACUUUGAAUCAUAAACUUUUUUUAAAUUUUUUUCUCAAAAUAAAAGUUCAUUACUUGGGGGUUGGGGGGGGGUUGGGUGUGUACAGUUGUUGCUGCAUGCAGAUGCAAAACGGAUUAAGUUGUUUUGGAAUCUGGUUUGAUUACAAUGUAAGAAGAAAAAAACUGCCUCAUCUGAUGAAGAUAUUUAAAAGUUUUAUUUUAUUAAUAAAAUGUUUAAAAAUGUGGCUCACACUGUUGAAAGCCUGAACUUAAAAUAUGGAUUUUUAUGUUGUUGUUUUUUCUUGUUUUGUUUUUUUUGUACAUAAUUAAUAUUUCCUAAGAAAAUGUAUUUUUGGAUUGCGAUUGUCUGGAUGUUCAGACCCACUGUUUUUGUUUUUUUUCAUUAUGUUCAUAGAUUCUUUUUCAAAUAUAAAACAAAAACCUGUUUCUUGAGCUUGUCUCUCAUUCUUCACCACCAUGACUAGCCACUCAGUCACACCUGAGUAGGGGGCGUCCACAUGAAUACAUUAGAAAAUGAGUGGUUGGGUAGAAAACUUAUCUGAGCGUUAUAAAACUUUGAGUCACUCCUCUCACUGAUGGAAGGUAAGGGUCAAAACCUAAAUAAGAGUACACGCUGUGUAAAAGUCCUGCUGCAGUGAAUUUUAAGUGAAAUCUGCAUAAAUGGUUUAAAAAAAACAAAAACGUUGAUCACGUGUUUUGUGCAGAAAAGAGGGAAUUCCUCUUCAGACUUAGAAGAAGCCACCUCAGCUCCUUAAUACGAGUCCUGGAUGCUUGUGGAAGUGCACAGAAAGGUGGGAAACUGCAUGUCAUGUUUAAACGCAGGUAUAGUGAAGCUGUCUUUUAGAUGAGGGCUGGUGCAUUAAACAGCGCAUCUGCGAUCACAUUUCUUAAAGUAGCACACUAAUAAAAGUGUAGCACGGGAACUCGAAAGCUCGUUUAUAAUCUAAAACCACAGAUAAUAAAUAUCUAGAUAUAAAUAUACGUUAUAUCUUUAUAUUUAAAUGUAAUAUGAACUGUCUACGUUGGAAUAAAUGAAUAACGAGGUGAAGUUUAUCUAGUUAGACCGUGGUAAAACCCCACCUGUUCCACCGUUGUCUCGAGCGGCUUUCCAGACUCAACGUGACGUCACACACGCCGUAUCCCGAGCGCUCCCCCCCCCUCCACCUCUGAGCGCGUGGUCCUGGUCGCGAGCACAUGGAAGUGAGGUUUGAGAUUUGUGUCUGAGAGACGCGCGAGCGACUGUCGGGAAAACGGAAUAUAAAGUGAAUUAAAGAAGCAGCCCGAGCAGCCCGGAAGCGCUCUCUCAGCCCGCUGGCUUUCCUCUGGAGCAGCUGUCGGUCAGCGUCAGUUGGUGAAUCUCGGAAACACAGAUCGCUAAUGAGGCUGGAGCUCUCGAGGACUGCCUGGCCCUGAACUCAGCAUCACACGGUGCUAAGUGACGAGGAUCCCCUGCUGCACCCGGGGAGGCUUAUGCAUCUGAAACGUAAAUAUUAUAUACGUCACGUCGAAUCAGGAGACGGGUGCUCUCGUCUGGCUUUGAGAUCUCGCUGUGCUCGGGGUGGUCCUGCAAACCCAGGAAAGUCCAGGCUUCUGCUGCUGCUGUGAUGGUGGUGUUGCAGACCCCCCAUGCCGGCCAGAUCUUUCUGCAGCUUCUGCACCGACACAUGAUCUGACUAGGAAGGAUGCAAAGGUGGAAGCAGACCGUGCUGGAUUCAGUUUCACAGCAUCUUACUGGAGCAAACACACACAACAUACUGCAAGGUUUUCAGUAGUAUCUACUUCCCCCUUUUUUUUCUUUUUUUUUGUUUGAGAGGACACGGAUACACCCUGACUGGGCCCCUGUAGUGCUCUACAUUGUGGCUGGGAAGUACCUAGUUUUACAACUGUCAUGCUGGCCUGCUUAAAGGGACAGUGCUGAUCAAUUCGAAGCACAUAUUGAGGGGUCUUUUAGUCACCCUAACAAGGGGGUCACAUGGAUGUUUGAGUCGUCACCUGAUAUGUGAGGAAUGUCAGAAGAGCCGUUUUCUGCAUCAAGCACUGCAUAAAAAUACUGAUUGAUAUUUGUUAAAAGAAUGUCUUUAAUAAAAAGUUGAAUUG